Molecule: long non-coding RNA, 1679 nt
Organism: Eriocheir sinensis (Chinese mitten crab)
Lineage: Eukaryota; Metazoa; Arthropoda; Malacostraca; Decapoda; Varunidae
Exons: 2
Source: RefSeq, a predicted model, not a curated record
GGCCUUUUUGUAGCUGUUAUAUGCGACAGCUGUAUAUGCUGUCUGAAGACCAACGUCAGUAACUCUGGAUGUUUUCUUAAAGGAACACUUAACUAACAGUACCUCUGAGCCCCCGGCCGGAACCUGAUCCAAGGAGGAGAAAGGGAGUCUCUACAAUCAGACAGCUGGUUUAAUUUGUUUAGUUAUUUGCUUUUGGGUGCUGUGUUCCUGUGCGGUCGCCCUAACGCGGAGCUGUACCCACUUGGCGCCACAACUCAGGACAACGACCCCACGAAUGUCUGAGUCCCAUCACGGGCGGCAGUAGGCUACCCUCGAAAUGAAAGUAUCCAUUUACAAUUACAGGCUAAAAAGCAAUUAAACUGAAUAUCAAGUGUUGCAUUUGAACAUACACCAUCAGGUCGGUAGAGAUUAAGCAUCCAUAAAGUAGGGUAGGCGGUGGCUGAGUGGUAGCGUGCUGGGCCCACAUUCACCGCGUGAUGGACGACGCGGGUUCGAAUCCCCACGCUACCACCUCGGAUUUUUCAGUCACCGCCGAGUGGCUUAAAAGUACCCACAUGCUGUCUUGAAGACCACCCAUCAACCCGGACUCUAGAGGAAACCGUCCAAGUGAAUCAAGAACGAGUUCCGGGGGCAGCAUGAGCCAAGAGAAGAUGGCGCCACUAUAAACACUUGCCUGCGCCAUGACGGGCUGGGGCCGACUACCAUCCAGGCCCCUCAGGAAAGCCUACCGGCGCUGUAGGUGUUAACGUAAAAAAAAAAAAAUAAAUAAACGAUUACACAAUCUUCUAAGACGCUUAUCAUCCGAGGUCUUCGUCGCCAUUGCCUCCUGAUAUGAAUUCCAGCGUAAUAAAAAUGCAAGCCACACCAGGUCGACAGUGUCCACCCAGCGCUCCCAGAGAGGUGUCAGGUCAAAGGAUUUACUCAGCUGAACAAUGAAGAGAAAUAGGUCCUGCUUGCCCUCGGAAAGGGAAGAGGAGCGGGCGACUCAUGGAUCAGGACGACAAACGCGACCAGCAUAUGCGGGAGCUUCCUUCAGGAGCCUCCGUCGCCCGCUGACCACGCCGGGGGGGCAGCACGAGGGGCGCGGCCAAGCCCUCCACGCCCCAUCAGCACGAAAUCACCGCACGGUUGUGUUCACUGAAUGCGCCGUAACAUGCAAACAGUACAGGCGGCGAGGGAGCUGGCGAAGAGGCCCGCAGGGUACCUGAAAAAUGACCACUCGAUUUUAUUUUAACUUAUAAGAAGCGGCAGAACAAUGUGGUGAUGUUUUAUGUAAUAAUAAUAAUAAUAAUAAUAAUAAUAAUAAUAAUAAUAAUAAUAAUAAUAAUAAUAAUAAUAAUAAUAACAAUAACUAGUGGGCACCCGUACAAAUUGCACGGAAUUGCACGGAUUCUGCCCCGCCCGUCGUGUUUGGGUUUGUAGUGAAGCCCGCUACAAUACUCCCCCUCAGCAAAACGUCCCUCUCGCACGAAAUUGGAGAAUAAAUUACCGUUUUCACUUUAAAUAGGAGCUAUAUCGCUUAACAAACAUAAACUGAAUAAACUUCGGCCAAAUCCGCGGCGAUAGGUCAAAAUUUGGUGUUGCCUCGAUGGGAUUAAGUGCAAAAAAAACUGAAUAAACUUUAGCCAAAUCCGCGGCGAUAGGUCAAAAUUUGGUGUUGCUUCGAUGGGUUUAAGGGC